RNAcentral lists this transfer RNA (69 nucleotides) under Mesonemoura metafiligera. RNAcentral's name for it is "tRNA-Trp". It matches the Rfam family "tRNA". From Rfam's summary of the family: Transfer RNA (tRNA) molecules are approximately 80 nucleotides in length. Their secondary structure includes four short double-helical elements and three loops (D, anti-codon, and T loops). The record is from RNAcentral. Lineage: Eukaryota; Metazoa; Arthropoda; Insecta; Plecoptera; Nemouridae.
AAGGCUUUAAGUUAAUUAAACUAAUAGCCUUCAAAGCUGUAAAUAAGAAUAUAAAUUUUUUAAGCCUUA